This 675-nucleotide ribosomal RNA is filed under the name Micromonospora siamensis. RNAcentral's name for it is "bacterial SSU rRNA". It matches the Rfam family "Bacterial small subunit ribosomal RNA", at positions 62 to 755 of the family's 1533-position model. Lineage: Bacteria; Bacillati; Actinomycetota; Actinomycetes; Micromonosporales; Micromonosporaceae. The record is from RNAcentral.
UCGAGCGGAGAGGCCCUUCGGGGUACUCGAGCGGCGAACGGGUGAGUAACACGUGAGCAACCUGCCCUAGGCUUUGGGAUAACCCCGGGAAACCGGGGCUAAUACCGAAUAGGACCUGGCCUCGCAUGAGGCUGGGUGGAAAGUUUUUCGGCCUGGGAUGGGCUCGCGGCCUAUCAGCUUGUUGGUGGGGUGAUGGCCUACCAAGGCGACGACGGGUAGCCGGCCUGAGAGGGCGACCGGCCACACUGGGACUGAGACACGGCCCAGACUCCUACGGGAGGCAGCAGUGGGGAAUAUUGCACAAUGGGCGGAAGCCUGAUGCAGCGACGCCGCGUGAGGGAUGACGGCCUUCGGGUUGUAAACCUCUUUCAGCAGGGACGAAGCGUAAGUGACGGUACCUGCAGAAGAAGCGCCGGCCAACUACGUGCCAGCAGCCGCGGUAAGACGUAGGGCGCGAGCGUUGUCCGGAUUUAUUGGGCGUAAAGAGCUCGUAGGCGGCUUGUCGCGUCGACCGUGAAAACUUGGGGCUCAACCCCAAGCCUGCGGUCGAUACGGGCAGGCUAGAGUUCGGUAGGGGAGACUGGAAUUCCUGGUGUAGCGGUGAAAUGCGCAGAUAUCAGGAGGAACACCGGUGGCGAAGGCGGGUCUCUGGGCCGAUACUGACGCUGAGGAGCG